AGAGUUUGAUCCUGGCUCAGAUUGAACGCUGGCGGCAGGCCUAACACAUGCAAGUCGAGCGGUAACACAGGGAGCUUGCUCCUGGGUGACGAGCGGCGGACGGGUGAGUAAUGUCUGGGAAACUGCCUGAUGGAGGGGGAUAACUACUGGAAACGGUAGCUAAUACCGCAUAACGUCGCAAGACCAAAGAGGGGGACCUUCGGGCCUCUUGCCAUCGGAUGUGCCCAGAUGGGAUUAGCUAGUAGGUGGGGUAACGGCUCACCUAGGCGACGAUCCCUAGCUGGUCUGAGAGGAUGACCAGCCACACUGGAACUGAGACACGGUCCAGACUCCUACGGGAGGCAGCAGUGGGGAAUAUUGCACAAUGGGCGCAAGCCUGAUGCAGCCAUGCCGCGUGUAUGAAGAAGGCCUUCGGGUUGUAAAGUACUUUCAGCGAGGAGGAAGGCAUUAAGGUUAAUAAC
RNAcentral lists this ribosomal RNA (461 nucleotides) under Enterobacter sp. glo8. RNAcentral describes it as "bacterial SSU rRNA". It matches the Rfam family "Bacterial small subunit ribosomal RNA", at positions 8 to 467 of the family's 1533-position model. The record is from RNAcentral. Lineage: Bacteria; Pseudomonadati; Pseudomonadota; Gammaproteobacteria; Enterobacterales; Enterobacteriaceae.